RNAcentral lists this RNase P RNA (401 nucleotides) under Bacteroidia bacterium. Its description in RNAcentral is "RNase P RNA component class A". It matches the Rfam family "Bacterial RNase P class A". Rfam says of the family: Ribonuclease P (RNase P) is a ubiquitous endoribonuclease, found in archaea, bacteria and eukarya as well as chloroplasts and mitochondria. Its best characterised activity is the generation of mature 5'-ends of tRNAs by cleaving the 5'-leader elements of precursor-tRNAs. The record is from RNAcentral. Lineage: Bacteria; Pseudomonadati; Bacteroidota; Bacteroidia.
AAAGCAAAUCGUUCUAUCGCUCUGCAGCUCUGCUGCAGGGAGGAAAGUCCGGGCAACACAGAGUGUCCUGCCCCGUGAAUAGCGGGGGUAUUCCGCAGAAAUGCUGAAUAACAGAAAGUGCCGCAGAGAAUAGUAGCCAUGUAGCAUGUACUGCAUGGUCAUAGUGAAAACGUGAGGUAAGAGCUCACGAACUGUUGUGGCAACAUACAGUUGGGUAAACCUCGGGAGUUGAAAGGUCAAAUAAGUCCCGAUUUUGAAGUUACUCGCUUCAAUUUCACUUCGGUGAGUAUCGGGAUGGGUAGAUCGCUUGAUCCUGUUCAGCAAUGAUCAGGACAGAUAAAUGAUAGAAACCCGGCCGAAAGGCGGGGAUACAGAACCCGGCUUACAGGUUUGCACAAAAU